UCCUUCCGGUCCUUUCUUUCUCCUUUUUUUUUUUGUUUAAAGGGAGCGUAGGCCGGAGAUUAAGCGUGUUGUGAAAUGUAGAUGCUCAACAUCUGAACUGCAGCGCGAACUGGUUUCCUUGAGUACGCACAAAGUGGGCGGAAUUCGUGGUGUAGCGGUGAAAUGCUUAGAUAUCACGAAGAACUCCGAUUGCGAAGGCAGCUCACUGGAGCGCAACUGACGCUGAAGCUCGAAAGUGCGGGUAUCGAACAGG
This 253-nucleotide ribosomal RNA is filed under the name Segatella copri DSM 18205. Its description in RNAcentral is "Prevotella copri DSM 18205 partial 16S ribosomal RNA". The stretch from base 27 to 253 matches the Rfam family "Bacterial small subunit ribosomal RNA", at positions 550 to 776 of the family's 1533-position model. Lineage: Bacteria; Pseudomonadati; Bacteroidota; Bacteroidia; Bacteroidales; Prevotellaceae. The record is from RNAcentral.